UACGGGGGGGGCAAGCGUUGUUCGGAAUUACUGGGCGUAAAGGGCUCGUAGGCGGCCAACUAAGUCAUACGUGAAAUCCCUCGGCUUAACCGGGGAACUGCGUCUGAUACUGGAUGGCUUGAGUUCGGGAGAGGGAUGCGGAAUUUCCAGUGGAGCGGUGAAAUGCGUAGAUAUUGGAAAGAACACCGAUGGCGAAGGCACUCUACUGGGCUAUUACUGACACUCAGAGACGAAAGCUAGGGGAGCAAAUGGG
Molecule: ribosomal RNA, 253 nt
Filed under: uncultured bacterium
Lineage: Bacteria
Description: partial 16S ribosomal RNA
Rfam family: Bacterial small subunit ribosomal RNA
Source: RNAcentral